Molecule: ribosomal RNA, 3576 nt
Filed under: Triticum aestivum (bread wheat)
Lineage: Eukaryota; Viridiplantae; Streptophyta; Magnoliopsida; Poales; Poaceae
Description: partial small subunit ribosomal RNA
Source: RNAcentral
AUGGCGUCGGUGGAGGUGCGGUCCGUGCGGAAGUCCGCGGCGUUGCGCCCGCGCGGGCCCGCCAAGGUGCAGCCCGCGCGGUCCAUGUCGCUCGACUACAAGUACUCCGCCGCGCGUGCUGGCGUCGAGCCCGGCCCGGCGCCCAACGGCGUAGGGCGCCGGGCUGCGGCGGACGAGGAAGGGGAUGCGGUGCCGCCCGAGGGAGACGCCGACUCUCCCUACAGCUCCAAGGCGACGACGACGGAGGAGGAGAGUGCUGGGGGUGGCGGGGAGGCCGAUUCAGCGUCCUCUGCAGCCGCGGCGCCGCGGAGUCCGUCGCCGGCGGCAGCUGCUGGCCCCUCACCGCGCGACACCAGAUGGGGUGACACCAGCUCCUACGGUGCUAAAAAGAAGCAUAGAGUUUUUUGCCAGCUUCCAAAUGGUGAUUGGGCCUUAUGCACCGUGAUUACUACCUCUGGUGACGAGUCUGUACUAAAGGUUCCUGAAGGAAAAGUUCUAAGAUUGAAAACGGAGAGCCUUCAACCUGCAAAUCCUGAAAUUCUUGAUGGAGUGGAUGAUCUUAUGCAGCUGAGUUAUCUAAGUGAACCAUCUGUGCUGUACAACUUGCAGUACAGAUAUUCACAAGACAUGAUUUAUACUAAAGCAGGUCCAGUUUUGGUGGCCGUCAACCCUUUUAAGAAGGUUGCACUGUAUGGUAAUGGGUAUAUUAAAGCAUAUAAAAACAAAACAAUGGACAGUCCACAUGUGUAUGCAAUAGCAGAUUCAGCGCUUCGUGAAAUGAAAAGAGAUGAAGUUAACCAGUCCAUUAUUAUAAGUGGUGAGAGUGGAGCAGGAAAAACAGAAACUGCAAAGAUUGCCAUGCAGUAUCUGGCUUCACUUGGAGGUGGAAGUGGCAUAGAGUAUGAGAUCCUACAGACUAACCCAAUACUCGAGGCUUUUGGCAAUGCAAAGACAUUAAGAAAUGAUAAUUCAAGUCGCUUCGGAAAGCUCAUCGAAAUUCAUUUCAGUACGACUGGAAGAAUAUGUGGUGCCAUGGUUCAAACAUUUCUACUCGAGAAGUCAAGGGUUGUACAGUGUGCAGUCGGUGAGCGUUCCUACCAUAUAUUUUAUCAGCUAUGUGCUGGUGCUCCAACGACACUCAGAGAGAAGUUGAAUUUGAAGAAGGUGGAUGAAUACAAAUAUCUGAAACAGAGUUGUUGCUAUUCAAUUGCUGGCGUGGAUGAUGCCGAAAUGUUUCGUGCUGUAACGGAAGCCAUGAACAUCGUCCAUAUCAGCCAGGAGGACCAAGAUAAUGUUUUCGCAAUGGUUUCAGCUGUGCUCUGGCUUGGAGAUGUCUCUUUCACAAUUAUUGAUAAUGAAAAUCAUGUUGAGAUCACUGUAGAAGAAGCUGCGGAAACGGUUUCACGACUUCUUGGCUGCAGUAUUGAAGAUCUCAAUUUAGCUUUGUCAAAGCGGCACAUGAAAGUUAAUAAUGAGAAUAUUGUCCAGAAGCUUACCCUUACACAGGCAACUGACACACGGGAUGCUCUGGCCAAAGCACUCUAUGCCAGUUUGUUCGAGUGGCUUGUAGAACAAAUUAACAAGUCCCUUUCAGUUGGCAAGCGUCGAACUGGGAGAUCAAUCAGUAUUCUUGACAUCUACGGCUUUGAAUCAUUUGAUAAAAACAGUUUUGAACAGUUCUGCAUUAAUUAUGCCAAUGAGAGGCUACAACAACAUUUCAACCGCCAUUUGUUUAAGCUUGAGCAAGAGGAAUAUGUUGAAGAUGGCAUUGACUGGGCUAAGGUUGAGUUUGAGGACAACCAGGAUUGCUUGAAUCUAUUUGAGAAAAAACCACUGGGGUUAUUGUCUCUGCUGGAUGAGGAAUCUACAUUCCCUAAUGCCACAGACCUUACUUUUGCAAACAAGCUGAAGCAACAUCUUGACACUAAUUCUUGCUUCAGAGGAGAAAGAGGCAAGGCUUUCACUGUCCGUCACUAUGCAGGAGAGGUGGCGUAUGACACAUCGGGUUUUCUGGAGAAGAACAGAGAUUUAUUGCACAUGGACUCGAUUCAGUUCCUUGCCAAAUGCAAAUUAUCUAUACCACAAACGUUUGCAUCUAAGAUGCUUGCUCAAUCUGAUAAUCUAGAAUCCGUACCAUACAGGCCUAGUGUUGCUGAUUCGCAGAAGUUAAGUGUAGCAAUGAAGUUUAAGGGACAAUUGUUCCAACUUAUGCAAAGACUUGAAAGCACAACACCACACUUCAUACGUUGUAUUAAACCAAAUAAUUUGCAACUCCCUGCCAUUUACGGACAAGAACUUGUGCUUCAACAACUGAAAUGCUGCGGGGUUCUUGAAGUUGUGCGCAUUUCAAGAUCUGGGUACCCAACGAGAAUGACUCAUCAGAAGUUUGCUCGGCGGUAUGGUUUUCUUCUUCUUGAGGAUGUUGCGUCUCAAGAUCCACUUAGUGUUUCGGUUGCAAUUCUUCAUCAAUUCAACAUUUUGCCUGAGAUGUAUCAAGUUGGCUACACAAAGUUAUUCUUCCGAACUGGUCAGAUUGGCAACCUUGAGAAUACUCGGAAUCGUACUCUGCAUGGUGUUUUAAGGGUUCAAAGUUGUUUCCGAGGGUAUCAAGCACGGCGCCAUGCAAGUGAACGAAUCAGAGGAGUUUUGGCUCUUCAAUCAUUCAUUCGUGCUGAGAAUGCAAGGCAAAGUUAUUCAUCUCUGUUGAGGAAACAUAGGGCAGCCACUCUUGUGCAGAAAAAUCUAAGAGGCUGGCGUGCAAGAAGAUACUUCAUCAAGAUACGGAAGGCUUCAGUGGUUAUACAAUCUGGUAUCCGCGGCUGCCUUGUUAGAAGAUGCGCCGGCAAUGUCGAUCUACUGAACGUGUUGAGAGAAUUCGAGUCGAAAAAGGAGGCAGACGGCGACCAAAUCUUGAUCAAGGCGUCUUUCCUGGCCGAGCUACAACGGCGAAUCCUUCGUGCCGAGGCGACAGUUCGAGAGAAGGACGAGGAGAACGAGAUGCUACACCAGCGGCUCCAGCAAUACGAGAACCGGUGGCUAGAAUACGAGCAGAAAAUGAAGGCGAUGGAGGAGAUGUGGCAGAAGCAGAUGCGGUCGCUGCAGUCGAGCCUGUCGGUGGCCAAGAAGAGCCUGGCCCUGGACGAGACGCCUCGGAUGUCCGACUCGUCCGUGGAGCAGAGCUGGGAGAGCAACGGGAACCACGUCGGUGGGGGCUCCUCCCAGCAGCUGGCGGCGGCGCCGCGGAUCACCGGGCGCGAGAUGAACGCCAGCAUGAGCGUCAUCGGGCGGUUGGCGGAGGAGCUUGAGCAGCGGAGCCAGGUGUUCGCCGACGACGCCAAGUUCCUGGUGGAGGUCAAGUCCGGGCAGGCGGACGCGAGCCUGAACCCGGACGUGGAGCUCCGCAGGCUGAAGCAGAACUUCGACUCGUGGAAGAAGGACUUCGGCUCCCGCAUCAGGGAGACCAAGGUGAUCCUGAACAAGCUCGCGAGCGGCGGCGGCGGCGGCGGCAACGAGUCCUCCCCCAACUCGGCCAAGCGGAAGUGGUGGGGCAGGCUCAACACCUCCAAGUUCUCGUGA